Molecule: long non-coding RNA, 2655 nt
Filed under: Vulpes vulpes (red fox)
Lineage: Eukaryota; Metazoa; Chordata; Mammalia; Carnivora; Canidae
Description: lncRNA (ENSVVUG00000026439.1)
Source: RNAcentral
GGAAAGACAUGAUCAACAGCUAAACUACAAGUCACUGUAGAUGGCAUUAAGUUUGGUAAAGGUGCUCUUAGGGACGGUGUCUGGGGAGACCCACUGCACAGAAAGGCCUUCUUGGGGAGGUAAAGCCAAAGGCCCAAGACAUGAUAAACAGCCUUCUGGGCUUGCAGAACCAGCUGGGAAGAUGAGGGCACAGACUCAGGAGGAGGAAGAUGAGGGCACAGACUCAGGAGGAGGGUUUGGCAUGUUCCAGAGAGAAGAAAACUCCCAGUACUGCCUAACGGAGAAUGGUCUUCCAACGUUGAUGAGGGCCGAGCUGUACAAAAUCCAUGGACCACACCCUGAGUAGCUCUGAGAUAGAAGACGAAGGAGAAUUGCAAUGAGCUACAGGAGGAGCAUUCCAGAUACUCCUGAAGUGACAAGUACAAAACCAGUUAUAGGAAGGAGCUUGGCAUGGCCUAGGCUGAUGAGUUGAUGGCCGUAGGCAGCGUUCCCAUACAUGGGUAUCUUUUGGCCUACACGGGCUUUUAAAACAAAUUAGAAUUCUGUGCCAGUGUUUUUGCGUGGACUUAUUUCUUUUAAAACUUGGAUUUGAGUUCUUUUGAGGCAAUCUGAAACUAUGGCAUCAUGGACCCAUAUAGGGUAUUUAGUAACCUGGGGCAAAGAAGCAUCUUCCUGCUGGAAAGGGAUGUGUGAGUGCACUGCAGGCAAACCAGUCUUUGACCCCUGUUUUACAAGGUGACACAGGUCAGGGGUCUGGGGCAAAGUGAACAAGGGGAAAGUGGGCAGGAACUGUUUGGAAAGGCAGUUGGGGAUCAGACCCCUCAGGACUGACAAGUGCUAGAAAAGACAUUAGAUAUGAAGAGUUCCAAGUCAAGGAGCAAAUUUGGAUAUUAAGGUCACUUAAGGUCAAUCUUCAGUUAUGUUGAUAGCAGACUGACAGGAGAAUGGCUGGGAGGCUAUUGCUGAAGGCAGGGGAGAGUUGGCAGACUGGACUAAAGAUUGGCAGAGGAAAUGGGGAAUGUGAGACUUAUUUUGUAGGAAAAAUCAGUAAGACUUAAUGAGGGAUUUGAGGUGGGAUUGGGAAAAGAGAAAAAUCAAAGGUGGUAGAAGAUGACAUCCAGGUUUUGGACUGGAUCCACCAGCUGGACCGUGUGGCCAUUUAUGACAAUGGAGGACAAACAGAAGGGGGAGACAAGGAGAUAGUGUUCAGGAAGAACUCCCAGAGCACCAUCUUGGACUGCGUGAACAGUCUGUGAAACUCAGAAAUGAAACUGCAGGUUGCAGUCGGCAAGAGUGUGAAGGUUGGCAAGCAGGCAUUCCUCUCCAGCAGUCUUAGAAAAGUCAGCCCAGUCCCUUCUAAAGAUCACCAGCCCCUGCUCCACACUAUCCCAUCCUCAUCCCCCAACAUCCACUGUAGCAAGUGCAGGAAGCAUUCACUGAGGACGCUCUUUCUAUGAGACAGUCUCUGAUGAAGCAUAAAAGUUGUAAAAAUCCCUACCCUUAUAAAGACCACAGUCUGAGGUGAAAAUUAUAGUUGUUUAAAAAAGAUUUUAUUUAUUUAUCCAUGAGAGACACAGAGAGAGAGACAGAGAGAGGCAGAAACACAGGCAGAGGGAGAAACAGGCUCCAUGCAGGGAGCCCAACGGGAACUCAAUCCUGGGUCUCCAGGAUCACAACCUGGGCUGAAGGCAGGUGCUAAACCGCUGAGCCACCCAGGCUGCCCUGAGGUGAAAAUUAUAGAUUUUUAAUCACAUGCAGUUUUUACUCUGAGCUUUGCAACUCUGCUGACUCCAUCACACUUACAUGGAAACUGCAGGCUGGGAGGGUGGGAACUUGUGUUAGAAGGUGGAGGGGUGUGUGUGAGGGAAAGUGGAGGAUAUGAGGGGAGGUUGGCUCAAUGUCAGCGGAUGGAAUCCAAGGAAUAUGAAUGAGGUAAGGGGACCAGACAUGGGAGGGGGUAAUGACUAGGGAGGCUGGUGAUGAAAGGGUGGCCCGAACACAGUCCUCGAAUGGAUAAACCCUGUAAUUCCACACAUGUCAAUCUUCCUCUCUGGCCUGAGUCUCUUCUCAUCAGUGCAGGGCUUUAGACUGAACAGAUGGUAGGGAAACUGUUGUGGUGGGAUCUAUUAUGGGCCUUGUCUCAAUAUUUCCUAAUAUUAUGAAGUACUAAAUGAUGCAAAUAAUUUCUGCUAUGUAUUGAAAUGAAUUGAGUUUAUUCUUCAGUGGGAGAAGAACAGGCUGGAAUUACACUAAGAAUGGAUUCUACAUGGCUAACAUUAUCAUAAGUAUCUUGAUGAAGGAAAAGUUUGCAAGACCUCUAGACUAGGCCACUUUAAACCUUCUUCCACCUGCAAUCUGUGGUUUUACAGCGUCUGUGUGGAAAACUGGAAGAUACUCAAUAUCUUUCAGAAUUACAGCAAGUUAUUAUUUUUUUUAAAAAAGAUUUUAUUUAUUUAUUCAUGAGAGACACAGGCAGAGGGAGAAGCAGGCUUCCUGCGGGCAGCCCGAUGUGAGACUUGAUCCCUGGACCUGGGAUCAUGCCUUGAGCUGAAGGCAGAUGCUCAAUCACUGAGCCACACAGGCAUCCCGCAAAUUAUUUCUGAAUUAAACCAGAAUAUAAAUAAAAAGUAACACAUGAGAUUACUAUCUUUUACA